RNAcentral lists this ribosomal RNA (788 nucleotides) under uncultured Lactobacillus sp. RNAcentral's name for it is "bacterial SSU rRNA". It matches the Rfam family "Bacterial small subunit ribosomal RNA", at positions 28 to 776 of the family's 1533-position model. The record is from RNAcentral. Lineage: Bacteria; Bacillati; Bacillota; Bacilli; Lactobacillales; Lactobacillaceae.
GACGAACGCUGGCGGCGUGCCUAAUACAUGCAAGUCGAGCGAGCUUGCCUAGAUGAAUUUGGUGCUUGCACCAGAUGAAACUAGAUACAAGCGAGCGGCGGACGGGUGAGUAACACGUGGGUAACCUGCCCAAGAGACUGGGAUAACACCUGGAAACAGAUGCUAAUACCGGAUAACAACACUAGACGCAUGUCUAGAGUUUAAAAGAUGGUUCUGCUAUCACUCUUGGAUGGACCUGCGGUGCAUUAGCUAGUUGGUAAGGUAACGGCUUACCAAGGCAAUGAUGCAUAGCCGAGUUGAGAGACUGAUCGGCCACAUUGGGACUGAGACACGGCCCAAACUCCUACGGGAGGCAGCAGUAGGGAAUCUUCCACAAUGGACGCAAGUCUGAUGGAGCAACGCCGCGUGAGUGAAGAAGGGUUUCGGCUCGUAAAGCUCUGUUGGUAGUGAAGAAAGAUAGAGGUAGUAACUGGCCUUUAUUUGACGGUAAUUACUUAGAAAGUCACGGCUAACUACGUGCCAGCAGCCGCGGUAAUACGUAGGUGGCAAGCGUUGUCCGGAUUUAUUGGGCGUAAAGCGAGUGCAGGCGGUUCAAUAAGUCUGAUGUGAAAGCCUUCGGCUCAACCGGAGAAUUGCAUCAGAAACUGUUGAACUUGAGUGCAGAAGAGGAGAGUGGAACUCCAUGUGUAGCGGUGGAAUGCGUAGAUAUAUGGAAGAACACCAGUGGCGAAGGCNGCUCUCUGGUCUGCAACUGACGCUGAGGCUCGAAAGCAUGGGUAGCGAACAGG